AAAGAAUUAGUUUAAAAAAACAUUUGUAUGUCAUACAAAAAUUAUUAGUGUUACCUAAUAUACUUUU
This 67-nucleotide transfer RNA is filed under the name Athalia tanaoserrula. Its description in RNAcentral is "tRNA-Asp". Lineage: Eukaryota; Metazoa; Arthropoda; Insecta; Hymenoptera; Athaliidae. The record is from RNAcentral.